UUUCACUUUAGUUAUUUCAGUCAUUGAUUGUAAUUUAACUUUUCAGGGGAGAUUGAGAAAUGAAGCCAUGAGUGAAAGAGGAGAAAGACCAUGCAAUGAAGCAUAGGUUUUAGUUGUUAGUGAAAAAAUGUAGAAAUAUUUGUAUGAUAUUGUCACCUUAUCUAUGUUUCUUUACGAAGACAACUAUCUUGUUUACUGUACUUUAAUUAGACAUGUUGGUUCCUGAUAAAGUACUUAAUUUCUUUUUUUGUGAAGCGCAUAAUUCAUUCCAAAUGCAAUGUCAUGGUCAUUUUUUUCCAUUAUUAACCUAGCAUAUUAGAAAC
This 323-nucleotide long non-coding RNA is filed under the name Setaria viridis. Its description in RNAcentral is "long non-coding RNA (SVIR_LNC005145)". The record is from RNAcentral. Lineage: Eukaryota; Viridiplantae; Streptophyta; Magnoliopsida; Poales; Poaceae.